Molecule: small nucleolar RNA, 113 nt
Organism: Elaeis guineensis (African oil palm)
Lineage: Eukaryota; Viridiplantae; Streptophyta; Magnoliopsida; Arecales; Arecaceae
Product: small nucleolar RNA Z278
Source: RefSeq, a predicted model, not a curated record
GCAUAUGAUGAUAUUUCCAAGUUUAUGGGGUGUACAUAGCUCGAAGUCCUAAACAAGGAGAACGUAAUUGGAGCUGCGAAUACUCAAAUGAUGUCAAUGGACUUAUUUAAGGU